This 341-nucleotide long non-coding RNA is filed under the name Androctonus crassicauda. The record is from RNAcentral. Lineage: Eukaryota; Metazoa; Arthropoda; Arachnida; Scorpiones; Buthidae.
GUUGACCCCUUGUGUCUGUACUUCUAAUGGGCCCACAAAAUUUUUAUCAUGAUCGUUCGAUUCUCCAGAUAUACAUUGGUCAUCAAAAUUUUCUCCUUACUUCCUACCUCAUUGUGUGUUCAGGAAAAAAGAGUGGUGCAGAUGCUAAGAUAUACCCUGUAUAGAAAAACUUUAAAGAAUAUACAUAAUGGCUAUGCUAAGACAAAAGUUUACAGGAAACCAACUUAUGAACAGGUGUUUAUACUGAACUGGUGCCAUGACCUAGUCAGUUAUAAAAAAGCUGCAUUUAGAAGUUUCUAUAGGAGAUCCCUAAUGUAUUGUACAGAUGAAAAAGAUUUAAA